GGAUUAGUGGCGAACGGGUGAGUAACACGUGAGUAACCUGCCCUUGACUCUGGGAUAAGCCUGGGAAACCGGGUCUAAUACUGGAUACGACCUUCUGGCGCAUGCCAUGUUGGUGGAAAGCUUUUGUGGUUUUGGAUGGACUCGCGGCCUAUCAGCUUGUUGGUGGGGUAAUGGCCUACCAAGGCGACGACGGGUAGCCGGCCUGAGAGGGUGACCGGCCACACUGGGACUGAGACACGGCCCAGACUCCUACGGGAGGCAGCAGUGGGGAAUAUUGCACAAUGGGCGCAAGCCUGAUGCAGCGACGCCGCGUGAGGGAUGAAGGCCUUCGGGUUGUAAACCUCUUUCAGUAGGGAAGAAGCCGGUCUUUUGGGUUGGUGACGGUACCUGCAGAAGAAGCGCCGGCUAACUACGUGCCAGCAGCCGCGGUAAUACGUAGGGCGCAAGCGUUAUCCGGAAUUAUUGGGCGUAAAGAGCUCGUAGGCGGUUUGUCGCGUCUGCCGUGAAAGUCCGGGGCUUAACUCCGGAUCUGCGGUGGGUACGGGCAGACUAGAGUGCAGUAGGGGAGACUGGAAUUCCUGGUGUAGCGGUGAAAUGCGCAGAUAUCAGGAGGAACACCGAUGGCGAAGGCAGGUCUCUGGGCUGUAACUGACGCUGAGGAGCGAAAGCAUGGGGAGCGAACAGGAUUAGAUACCCUGGUAGUCCAUGCCGUAAACGUUGGGCACUAGGUGUGGGGGACAUUCCACGUUUUCCGCGCCGUAGCUAACGCAUUAAGUGCCCCGCCUGGUGAGUACGGCCGC
RNAcentral lists this ribosomal RNA (800 nucleotides) under Arthrobacter agilis. RNAcentral describes it as "bacterial SSU rRNA". It matches the Rfam family "Bacterial small subunit ribosomal RNA", at positions 89 to 889 of the family's 1533-position model. The record is from RNAcentral. Lineage: Bacteria; Bacillati; Actinomycetota; Actinomycetes; Micrococcales; Micrococcaceae.